CCGUGCUAGACGGGGAGGUAGCGGUGCCCUUCGCCCGCAAUCCGCUAUAGCGGGGUUGAAUCCCCGGCCGAGGCCGCGGCGCGCAGAGCAGGCGGCGGCACGUGGCGUUGACGAUCGGGUCCCGUGCGGCAGAAUCCCGUGAACCCCGCCAGGUCCGGAAGGAAGCAACGGUAAGCGGGCACUUCUGGGCGCCACGGGGUAGCCGGGUCCGAGCCGGCGGCCGUCAAACCGUCUGGACGUCGCAGGUCGGAGCCGGGUGCACGG
Molecule: signal recognition particle RNA, 264 nt
Filed under: Bacillota bacterium
Lineage: Bacteria; Bacillati; Bacillota
Description: signal recognition particle sRNA large type
Rfam family: Bacterial large signal recognition particle RNA
About the family: The signal recognition particle (SRP) is a universally conserved ribonucleoprotein involved in the co-translational targeting of proteins to membranes. Archaeal SRP consists of a 7S RNA and homologues of the eukaryotic SRP19 and SRP54 proteins.
Source: RNAcentral